CCCAUGUACACACCGCCCGUCGCUACUACCGAUUGAAUGGCUCAGUGAGGCGUCCGGACUGGCCCAGAGAGGUGGGCAACUACCACUCAGGGCCGGAAAGCUCUCCAAACUCGGUCAUUUAGAGGAAGUAAAAGUCGUAACAAGGUCUCCGUUGGUGAACCAGCGGAGGGAUCAUUACCGAGUUUACAACUCCCAAACCCCUGUGAACAUACCUUAAUGUUGCCUCGGCGGAUCAGCCCGCGCCCCGUAAAACGGGACGGCCCGCCAGAGGACCCAAACUCUAAUGUUUCUUAUUGUAACUUCUGAGUAAAACAAACAAAUAAAUCAAAACUUUCAACAACGGAUCUCUUGGUUCUGGCAUCGAUGAAGAACGCAGCAAAAUGCGAUAAGUAAUGUGAAUUGCAGAAUUCAGUGAAUCAUCGAAUCUUUGAACGCACAUUGCGCCCGCUGGUAUUCCGGCGGGCAUGCCUGUUCGAGCGUCAUUUCAACCCUCAAGCCCCCGGGUUUGGUGUUGGGGAUCGGCUCUGCCCUUCUGGGCGGUGCCGCCCCCGAAAUACAUUGGCGGUCUCGCUGCAGCCUCCAUUGCGUAGUAGCUAACACCUCGCAACUGGAACGCGGCGCGGCCAUGCCGUAAAACCCCAACUUCUGAAUGUUGACCUCGGAUCAGGUAGGAAUACCCGCUGAACUUAAGCAUAUCAAUAAGCGGAGGAAAAGAAACCAACAGGGAUUGCCCUAGUAACGGCGAGUGAAGCGGCAACAGCUCAAAUUUGAAAUCUGGCUUUCGGGCCCGAGUUGUAAUUUGUAGAGGAUACUUUUGAUGCGGUGCCUUCCGAGUUCCCUGGAACGGGACGCCAUAGAGGGUGAGAGCCCCGUCUGGUGGAUGCCAAAUCUCGAGCGCUCCAA
This 903-nucleotide ribosomal RNA is filed under the name Fusarium acuminatum. RNAcentral's name for it is "eukaryotic LSU rRNA". The stretch from base 654 to 903 matches the Rfam family "Eukaryotic large subunit ribosomal RNA", at positions 1 to 257 of the family's 3401-position model. Lineage: Eukaryota; Fungi; Ascomycota; Sordariomycetes; Hypocreales; Nectriaceae. The record is from RNAcentral.